GCACUUCUGCAGCUCAAAUACUAAAAUUGGAACAAUACAAAGAAGAUGAGCAUGGCUCCUGUGUAAGGAUGACACAUAAAUUCCUGAAACAUUCCAUGUUUUC
Molecule: small nuclear RNA, 103 nt
Organism: Rhincodon typus (whale shark)
Lineage: Eukaryota; Metazoa; Chordata; Chondrichthyes; Orectolobiformes; Rhincodontidae
Source: RefSeq, a predicted model, not a curated record